GUGCUGGCAUUGGCAGCACAUAUAACAAGACUGAAACAACACAGAGAUUAGCGUGGCCUCUGUGCAGAAAUGACAUGCAAAUCUGUGAAGCAUUCUAUAUUUAA
This is a small nuclear RNA of Grammomys surdaster, 104 nucleotides long. The record is from RefSeq and is a predicted model, not a curated record. NCBI's taxonomy places the organism in Eukaryota, Metazoa, Chordata, Mammalia, Rodentia, Muridae.